This is a long non-coding RNA of Pseudoliparis swirei, 1022 nucleotides long. RefSeq lists it as uncharacterized. NCBI's taxonomy places the organism in Eukaryota, Metazoa, Chordata, Actinopteri, Perciformes, Liparidae. The transcript has 2 exons. The record is from RefSeq and is a predicted model, not a curated record.
CUGAGCUGGGAGGAGACGCUGAUACCAGCAGGACCGUGUUCUGGCCAGAAGGGGGCCUCGUGCUGCAGGGGAGUGCGCCGAGGGAAAAAGCUCCGGGAUGAUGGCGCCUGUCCUCCAGCCGUGUUUCAGCGUCAGGUCCUGCAAAAAAAAAAGGGACCGGAAUUGUCAAUUAAUCAGGAAUUCUCAUGUGUUCGUGUGAGUCAGAGGCUUUAAGUACAUAUUAUACAGCACAGACGGAUUGUUAUUGUGUUUCUGCUGUUGUACCACAGUGGUGUGCUAACAUUUGUGAUUACCUGCUGAGACAACGACGACAUAAAAACACCACGACAGCAGCACCACUGCAAUGCCGCGCUGGAUCUGUGUGACUGCACAGUCUCAGUGGGCCUAGUGUUUCAUACUCAGAAUAAUAUGACAAUGCUGACUACCCCAAACACAAGAUGGAAUUUAGAUUCAUCUGAACCUCUCUGGUUGUAGGUAUUCCCCUAAAGCUCCUUAGGUGACAAGUGCAAACCAAUUGUCUUCAACGAAUUGAAGACAGAACUUUUUCUCGGGAUUCUUCUGUGUACAUAAUUGUUGGAAAAAUAACUAUUUCAACAGGACUGUGACUUCACAAAUCACAGGAUGUUUAACUUUUAUGGUCUGAUGGUCUUGCUUGGAGGGGGGCACCAGGAAGUCCAAAUAUUGAUCAGUAUUCUUCUUCAAUCACUGAUAAAAAGUUGAUCAUAGGUUCAUCUAAGAGAGGAGAAUUCAUCUGCUUAUCUGGAGCCCCUUCGCAAUGACAAUGGCGGCCCUGUUUCCGGAGAACAUAAGAACUCGCUUUGGGCCGGUUCGGACCGCAUCCCCUCCCGUUGCUGUCCGUCACACUGUAUAGAUGACAGAGGCUCAGAGACGGAUCUUUGAGCAGCAACUUGGAAAUAUGACUGGUGUGUAGUUUCAACUCUGCUCAUUCUUGCAAGAGUAAAUUGCCUGAAUGAUUUCUAACAAUAAUCUAAUAAAACUGUAUAAAACUGGACUAAAACAUG